UACGUAGGGUGCGAGCGUUGUCCGGAAUUACUGGGCGUAAAGAGCUCGUAGGUGGUUUGUCGCGUUGUUCGUGAAAACCGGGGGCUUAACUCUCGGCGUGCGGGCGAUACGGGCAGACUGGAGUACUGCAGGGGAGACUGGAACUCCUGGUGUAGCGGUGGAAUGCGCAGAUAUCAGGAGGAACACCAGCGACGAAGGCGGCGCUCUGGGCCGGUACUGACGCUGAGGAGCGAAAGCUAGGGGAGCAAACAGG
RNAcentral lists this ribosomal RNA (253 nucleotides) under uncultured bacterium. RNAcentral's name for it is "partial 16S ribosomal RNA". It matches the Rfam family "Bacterial small subunit ribosomal RNA", at positions 524 to 776 of the family's 1533-position model. The record is from RNAcentral.